This 330-nucleotide ribosomal RNA is filed under the name uncultured bacterium. Its description in RNAcentral is "bacterial SSU rRNA". It matches the Rfam family "Bacterial small subunit ribosomal RNA", at positions 568 to 898 of the family's 1533-position model. The record is from RNAcentral.
UGUGUAGGCGGCCUGUUAAGUUCCGUGUGAAAUCUCCCGGCUCAACCGGGAGGGUGCGCGGAAAACUGGCGGGCUAGAGUGCGGGAUGGGAGAGUAGAAUUUCUGGUGUAGCGGUGAAAUGCGUAGAUAUCAGGAGGAAUACCGGUGGUGUAGACGGCUCUCUGGACCGUAACUGACGCUGAAACACGAAAGCGUGGGUAGCAAACAGGAUUAGAUACCCUGGUAGUCCACGCCCUAAACGAUGCAUAUUUGGUGUAGGCAGUUCAUUCUGUCUGUGCCGGAGCUAACGCGUUAAAUAUGCCGCCUGGGGAGUACAGUCGCAAGGCUGAA